UGAUCGCAAGGACAUGUGGAGCGCUUAGAAGUGAGAAUGCCGGUGUGAGUAGCGAAAGACGGGUGAGAAUCCCGUCCACCGAUUGACUAAGGUUUCCAGAGGAAGGCUCGUCCGCUCUGGGUUAGUCGGGUCCUAAGCUGAGGCCGACAGGCGUAGGCGAUGGAUAACAGGUUGAUAUUCCUGUACCACCAUUAUUCGUUUUAAGCGAUGGGGGGACGCAGUAGGAUAGGCGAAGCGUGCUGUUGGAGUGCACGUCCAAGCAGUGAGAUUGAGUGUUAGGCAAAUCCGGCACUCUUAAGAUUGAGCUGUGAUGGGGAGAGGAACUUGUUCCUCGAGUCGUUGAUUUCACACUGCCGAGAAAAGCCUCUAGCUAGAAUAACGGUGCCCGUACCGCAAACCGACACAGGUAGUCAAGAUGAGAAUUCUAAGGUGAGCGAGCGAACUCUCGUUAAGGAACUCGGCAAAAUGACCCCGUAACUUCGGGAGAAGGGGUGCUCUUUGAGGUUCACGCUUCGAAGAGCCGCAGUGAAUAGGCCCAAGCGACUGUUUAUCAAAAACACAGGUCUCUGCUAAACCGUAAGGUGACGUAUAGGGGCUGACGCCUGCCCGGUGCUGGAAGGUUAAGAGGAGUGGUUAGCGCAAGCGAAGCUACGAAUCGAAGCCCCAGUAAACGGCGGCCGUAACUAUAACGGUCCUAAGGUAGCGAAAUUCCUUGUCGGGUAAGUUCCGACCCGCACGAAAGGCGUAACGAUUUGGGCACUGUCUCAACGAGAGACUCGGUGAAAUCAUAGUACCGGUGAAGAUGCCGGUUACCCGCGACAGGACGGAAAGACCCCGUGGAGCUUUACUGUAGCCUGAUAUUGAAAUUCGGUACAGUUUGUACAGGAUAGGUAGGAGCCUUAGAAGCGUGAGCGCUAGCUUACGUGGAGGCAUUGGUGGGAUACUACCCUAAUUGUAUUGGAUUUCUAACCCGCAGCACUUAUCGUGCUGGGAGACAGUGUCAGGCGGGCAGUUUGACUGGGGCGGUCGCCUCCUAAAGAGUAACGGAGGCGCUCAAAGGUUCCCUCAGAAUGGUUGGAAAUCAUUCAUAGAGUGUAAAGGCAUAAGGGAGCUUGACUGCGAGACCUACAAGUCGAGCAGGGUCGAAAGACGGACUUAGUGAUCCGGUGGUUCCGCAUGGAAGGGCCAUCGCUCAACGGAUAAAAGCUACCCCGGGGAUAACAGGCUUAUCUCCCCCAAGAGUUCACAUCGACGGGGAGGUUUGGCACCUCGAUGUCGGCUCAUCGCAUCCUGGGGCUGUAGUCGGUCCCAAGGGUUGGGCUGUUCGCCCAUUAAAGCGGUACGCGAGCUGGGUUCAGAACGUCGUGAGACAGUUCGGUCCCUAUCCGUCGUGGGCGUAGGAAAUUUGAGAGGAGCUGUCCUUAGUACGAGAGGACCGGGAUGGACAUACCUCUGGUGUACCAGUUGUCGUGCCAACGGCAUAGCUGGGUAGCUAUGUAUGGACGGGAUAAGUGCUGAAAGCA
Molecule: ribosomal RNA, 1523 nt
Filed under: Staphylococcus pseudintermedius
Lineage: Bacteria; Bacillati; Bacillota; Bacilli; Caryophanales; Staphylococcaceae
Description: partial 23S ribosomal RNA
Rfam family: Bacterial large subunit ribosomal RNA
Source: RNAcentral